UGUCGGCAAACCACGUGGCCGGGAAGGGCAUGAAAUGAAGGCCCUAGCUAGCCAAGAUGAACACGCAUGCAUCAUAACGAAUAUUUGGCAUGUAACAUCCGAGAAGAAGAUUCCACAUAAUAUAAAUAUAAAUGGUGGUCCACCGAACUCAUCAUCUCCUCCACAAUUGGUGGUGAGGCUAGGCGGGCCUAAACCAUAUAGGUAGGUUGGUU
RNAcentral lists this long non-coding RNA (212 nucleotides) under Prunus persica (peach). Its description in RNAcentral is "long non-coding RNA (PPER_LNC000362)". The record is from RNAcentral. Lineage: Eukaryota; Viridiplantae; Streptophyta; Magnoliopsida; Rosales; Rosaceae.